CAAGUCGAGCGAACGGACGAGAAGCUUGCUUCUCUGAUGUUAGCGGCGGACGGGUGAGUAACACGUGGAUAACCUACCUAUAAGACUGGGAUAACUUCGGGAAACCGGAGCUAAUACCGGAUAAUAUUUUGAACCGCAUGGUUCAAAAGUGAAAGACGGUCUUGCUGUCACUUAUAGAUGGAUCCGCGCUGCAUUAGCUAGUUGGUAAGGUAACGGCUUACCAAGGCAACGAUGCAUAGCCGACCUGAGAGGGUGAUCGGCCACACUGGAACUGAGACGCGGUCCAGACUCCUACGGGAGGCAGCAGUAGGGAAUCUUCCGCAAUGGGCGCAAGCCUGACGGAGCAACGCCGCGUGAGUGACGAAGGUCUUCGGAUCGUAAAACUCUGUUAUUAGGGAAGAACAUAUGUGUAAGUAACUGUGCACAUCUUGACGGUACCUAAUCAGAAAGCCACGGCUAACUACGUGCCAGCAGCCGCGGUAAUACGUAGGUGGCAAGCGUUAUCCGGAAUUAUUGGGCGUAAAGCGCGCGUAGGCGGUUUUUUAAGUCUGAUGUGAAAGCCCACGGCUCAACCGUGGAGGGUCAUUGGAAACUGGAAUACUUGAGUGCAGAAGAGGAAAGUGGAAUUCCAUGUGUAGCGGUGAUAUGCGCAGAGAUAUGGAGGUACACCAGUGGCGAAGGCGACUUUCUGGUCUGUAAC
Molecule: ribosomal RNA, 700 nt
Filed under: uncultured Staphylococcus sp.
Lineage: Bacteria; Bacillati; Bacillota; Bacilli; Caryophanales; Staphylococcaceae
Description: bacterial SSU rRNA
Rfam family: Bacterial small subunit ribosomal RNA
Source: RNAcentral